Oncorhynchus masou masou (cherry salmon) is the source of this 870-nucleotide long non-coding RNA. RefSeq lists it as uncharacterized. The transcript has 3 exons. The record is from RefSeq and is a predicted model, not a curated record. NCBI's taxonomy places the organism in Eukaryota, Metazoa, Chordata, Actinopteri, Salmoniformes, Salmonidae.
GGAGGAGGGAACCUACUGGACCUCACAGUGUAGGUAUGGAGGGAGGAGGAGGGAACCUACUGGACCUCACAGUGUAGGUAUGGAGGGAACCUACUGGACCUCACAGUGUAGGUAUGGAGGGAGGAGGAGGAGGGAACCUACUGGACCUCACAGUGUAGGUAUGGAGGGAGGAGGAGGGAACCUACUGGACCUCACAGUGUAGGUAUGGAGGGAACCUACUGGACCUCACAGUGUAGGUAUGGAGGGAGGAGGAGGGAACCUACUGGACCUCACAGUGUAGGUAUGGAGGGAACCUACUGGACCUCACAGUGUAGGUAUGGAGGGAACCUACUGGACCUCACAGUGUAGGUAUGGAGGAAGGAGGAGGGAACCUACUGGACCUCACAGUGUAGGUAUGGAGGGAGGAGGAGGAGGGAACCUACUGGACCUCACAGUGUAGGUAUGGAGGGAGGAGGAGGAGGGAACCUACUGGACCUCACAGUGUAGGUAUGGAGGGAGGAGGAGGGAACCUACUGGACCUCACAGUGUAGGUAUGGAGGGAGGAGGAGGAGGGAACCUACUGGACCUCACAGUGUAGGUAUGGAGGGAGGAGGAGGGAACCUACUGGACCUCACAGUGUAGGUAUGGAGGGAGGAGGAGGGAACCUACUGGACCUCACAGUGUAGGUAUGGAGGGAGGAGGAGGGAACCUACUGGACCUCACAGUGUAGGUAUGGAGGGAGGAGGAGAGAACCUACUGGACCUCACAGUGUAGGUAUGGAGGGAGGAGGAGAGAACCUACUGGACCUCACAGUGUAGGUAUGGAGGGAGGAGGAGGAGGGAACCUACUGGACCUCACAGUGUAGGUAUGGAGGGAGGAGGAGGGAACCUA